CCCCUAGAUGUUCUGGGCCGCACGCGCGCUACACUGAACAGUUCAACAAGUCUUAACCUUGGCCGAUAGGUCUGGGUAAUCUUUGAACGCUGUUCGUGAUUGGGAUAGACCUUUGCAAUUAUGGGUCUUCAACGAGGAAUUCCUAGUAAACGCAAGUCAUCAGCUUGCAUUGAUUACGUCCCUGCCCUUUGUACACACCGCCCGUCGCACCUACCGAUUGAAUGGUCCGGUGAAGGCUUCGGAGGCGGCUUUCUCAAUGUUUAUUCGGCGAGACUGCUGCCAAAGUUGAAUGAACCUUACCAUUUAGAGGAAGGUGAAGUCGUAACA
Molecule: ribosomal RNA, 327 nt
Filed under: uncultured eukaryote
Lineage: Eukaryota
Description: partial 18S ribosomal RNA
Rfam family: Eukaryotic small subunit ribosomal RNA
Source: RNAcentral